Molecule: ribosomal RNA, 732 nt
Filed under: uncultured beta proteobacterium
Lineage: Bacteria; Pseudomonadati; Pseudomonadota; Betaproteobacteria
Description: bacterial SSU rRNA
Rfam family: Bacterial small subunit ribosomal RNA
Source: RNAcentral
AUGCCUUACACAUGCAAGUCGAACGGCAGCACGGGUGCUUGCACCUGGUGGCGAGUGGCGAACGGGUGAGUAAUACAUCGGAACAUGUCCUGUAGUGGGGGAUAGCCCGGCGAAAGCCGGAUUAAUACCGCAUACGAUCUACGGAUGAAAGCGGGGGACCUUCGGGCCUCGCGCUAUAGGGUUGGCCGAUGGCUGAUUAGCUAGUUGGUGGGGUAAAGGCCUACCAAGGCGACGAUCAGUAGCUGGUCUGAGAGGACGACCAGCCACACUGGGACUGAGACACGGCCCAGACUCCUACGGGAGGCAGCAGUGGGGAAUUUUGGACAAUGGGCGAAAGCCUGAUCCAGCAAUGCCGCGUGUGUGAAGAAGGCCUUCGGGUUGUAAAGCACUUUUGUCCGGAAAGAAAUCCUUGGUUCUAAUAUAGCCGGGGGAUGACGGUACCGGAAGAAUAAGCACCGGCUAACUACGUGCCAGCAGCCGCGGUAAUACGUAGGGUGCGAGCGUUAAUCGGAAUUACUGGGCGUAAAGCGUGCGCAGGCGGUUUGCUAAGACCGAUGUGAAAUCCCCGGGCUCAACCUGGGAACUGCAUUGGUGACUGGCAGGCUAGAGUAUGGCAGAGGGGGGUAGAAUUCCACGUGUAGCAGUGAAAUGCGUAGAGAUGUGGAGGAAUACCGAUGGCGAAGGCAGCCCCCUGGGCCAAUACUGACGCUCAUGCACGAAAGCGUGGGGAGC